GAGGGCGGGGCCGGCGGCCAUCUUGUUGCCGUCACUGGCUCCUCGGGGGGUGGCGCUACGUGCGAGGCCGGGGCGCUGGCGGGGCGGCCUGCGGGGCAGGCGGCGGCGAUGAGCGCGGAAGCGGCGGACCGGGAGGCCGCCACCUCCAGCCGGCCGUGCACGCCGCCGCAGACAUCAUGGUUCGAGUUCCUGCUGGAGGAGGCGCUGCUGGAGCAGCACCUGCAGAAGCCCUCUCCCGAUCCACCACCAGUGCAGCUGAUUGUCCAGUUCUUGGAACAAGCUUCAAAACCCUCCGUGAAUGAACAGAACCAGGUUCAGCCACCACCUGAUAACAAAAGAAAUCGCAUUUUAAAACUUCUUGCACUUAAAGUUGCUGCUCAUCUUAAGUGGGAUUUGGAUGUAUUAGAGAAAAGCUUGUCAGUCCCUGUAUUGAACAUGCUACUGAAUGAGCUUCUGUGUAUCAGCAAAGUUCCUCCAGGAACUAAACACGUGGAUGUAGACCUGGCCAGCUUACCCCCAACCACUGCAAUGGCAAUUCUGCUCUACAACAGAUGGGCCAUAAGAACCAUCGUUCAAAGUAGCUUUCCUGUAAAGCAGGUGAAACCUGGUCCACCUCAGUUAAAUGUGAUGAACCAGAUGCAGCAAGAAAAGGAACUAACUGACAAUAUUCUGAAAGUGUUGAAAGAGCAGGCUGCUGAUUCCAUCCUGGUCCUGGAAGGAGCACUUAAAUUAAACAAAGAUCUUUAUGUCCACACUAUAAGAACUCUGGAUUUAUUAGCCAUGGAGCCUGGUAUGGUGAAUGGAGAAACAGAGAGUUCCACAGCUGGACUGAAAAUCAGUGCAGAGGAGAUACAGUGCCAGGUUUGCUAUGAUUUGGGUGCAAUCUAUUUUCAACAAGGAUCUACAAAUGCAGCCGUUCAUGAAAAUGCUAAAGAGAUGUUUUUCAAAACAAAGGAGUUGAUUGCAAAGAAUGGUUCCUCAUCACUUCAUUUUACCAUAGAUGAAGAACGGUUAGCUGGGUACUGUCAAGCAUGUGGAGUUCUUACCUCGUCUUCUGAUGAUACAUCUCAACAGGCAACUCCUUAUAGUCAAAUCCAUAGCUGUAUGAAAUCUGGCAAUUAUCAGGAUGUAGUGAAGAUAUUCCUUGAAGACAAUCUAACCCUCAGUUUACCUGUUCAGUUCAGGCAGUCAGUGCUGAGAGAACUCUUCCAAAAAGCUCAACAAGGGAAUGAUGCUCUGGAUGAAGUUUGCUUCAAAGUCUGCGUGUGCAACACAGUCUGCGAUGUAUUGCAGGGUCGAACAGUUGAUGUUCAGUUUUGUCAACUGUUCCUGAAACCCAGCAAAGAGAAAAUAGACUUCCUCCUUGAGGUUUGUUCGAGAUCAUUAAACUUGGAAAAUGCUUCUGAAGCGUUGAAGAGAAAAAUGGCAGCUUUCCUCAAAAACUUGUGUUUGGGUUUGGAAGAUCUUCAGCUUGUCUUCAUGAUUUCAUCUCAUGAGCUGUUCAUAAAACUGCUGAAAGAUGAUGAACGGAAGCUGCUCAUUGACCAAAUGCGGAAGAGAUCACCUCGGAUCAACCUGUGCACAAAACCUGUGGCUUCUUUUUAUGAUAUCCCAGCUUCAGCAAGUGUCAAUAUUGGCCAGCUUGAGCAUCAGCUCAUAUUGUCAGUAGAUCCUUGGAGGAUUCGACAGAUCUUAAUUGAGUUGCAUGGUAUGACUUCAGAACGCCAAUUCUGGACAAUUUCAAAUAAGUGGGAAGUGCCAAAUGUUUACGGCAAUGUUAUUUUAGGAAUCAAAGACAGUCUGACUAGGGAUUUGGUCUACAUCCUUAUGGCAAAGGGAUUACACUGCUGUGCGAUUAAGGAUUUUGUCCAUGCAAAACAGCUUUUUGCUGCUUGCUUGGAGCUUGUGACAGAGUUCUCUCCAAAACUGCGCCAAGUCAUGCUGAAUGAAAUGCUACUUUUGGACAUUUACACUCAUGAAGCUGGACCUGGUGCUUCUGGAGAGCGUCCUCCUUCUGACCUUAUAAGCAGAGUCCGAGGAUAUUUGGAAAUGAGAGUUCCUGAUAUUCCUCUCCGUCAAGUUAUAGCUGAAGAAUGUGUUGCCUUCCUGUUAAACUGGUGUGAGAAUGAGUAUUUGACCAUGCAAGUUCCAUUACCUCUGGUUCAAACUAAUCCUUAUGUGAAGCUGGGACAGUUGCUGGCUGCUACAUGCAAAGAACUUCCAGGUCCCAAAGAAAGCAGACGGACAGCAAAAGACCUUUGGGAAGUUGUGGUACAAAUCUGCAGCGUUUCCAACCAGCACAAACGCGGGAAUGAUGGCAGAGUGAGUUUGAUAAAACACAGGGAGUCUACGCUGGGCAUUAUGUACAGGAGUGAAUUGCUGUCCUUCAUCAAAAAGCUUCGGGAACCAUUGGUUUUAACCACAAUAUUGUCCCUGUUUGUCAAGCUUCAUAAUGUUCGGGAAGACAUAGUGAACGAUAUUGCAGCGGAGCACAUCUCCAUCUGGCCCUCCUCCAUCCCCAAUCUCCAGUCAGUGGACUUUGAAGCUGUGGCUGUGACAGUGAAGGAGCUGGUGAGCUACGCCCUGACCAUCAACGCAAACAACCACUUCUGGUUAAUUAUUCAGGCAGAUAUUUAUUUUGCAACGAAUCAGUACUCAGCAGCCCUUCACUAUUAUCUCCAGGCAGGAGCUGUGUGCUCAGACUUCUUUAAUAAGAUGGUGCCACCAGAUGUGUACACGGACCAGCGUGUGAGAGCUUCGGGCACUGCUCAGGGAUCCUCCUCAGUGUUCACAGCCCCAUCUGAGCUGUGCCUCCUUUCUGCCAGGCUGUGGUGGUGCAGGAGUCCCUGCUGGGACUGUGUUCUGUCACACGUGCCAGUGUGUGCCUGCCCCGCUGCUGUUCCAUUCCCACAUUCCAGCAGGCCUUGCCAGUAGGCAGCAGGAGAUAAAGGUGACACUUUUUAACAGGCCACAGCUUGGCUCUCACACCAGAAAUGCAGCGCUGGGGCUGUAGCACACACCAUAGCCCCUGUGAGGUCUCCUCAGGGAUGAGAGCUCAGUCCACCAGUGGAUGUGCUAGAACCCAGGAGUUGCUGGGAGUUAGGAUGGAGGCAGCCAUUUAGCUGGUCCCCUGCGUUUACAAAGCAUGAAAUGAAGUUGCAGUUUCUGUUCCAACACUGGCUUUUCAAAAGGUGUGUUCUGUUUUUAACCAUUCUGUAGGUGAUAAAAAGAAUGAUCAAGUGCUGUUCUUUACUCAACUGUCACACCCAGGUAGGAGGUGAAAUAUGGCAGUAAGUAAAACAUUGGCUUAUAUUUUGAUGUUAAUGGGGGGAAACUAAAAUGGAAUCCAGUUUUCCUUGUAAAUUCAAUCUGCACUAGUAGUAGAUUUUGUUCUUACUGUUGCUGUUAGGGUGCUAAGAGGGCUGAAAUUAGUGAGUAAAUAGGGGACAUACUUGGAAUGGCUGUAAAUAGUAGAAAGAGUCUGGGGUUUCUUUGUCCCUUUUUUCUCCUAGGAUAUGGAUAUAUUUUAUUUUCUGUAGGGCUGAGUACUUCCCUUUUUAGCUACUGUUGUUGUUAUUGCAGCAUGAGCUGUGGCUGCCCUUGCAGUUCAGGCGCUUGGAAGGUGCUCACUGUAGAAAUGAGCUCUGGCUCAGGUCUGGAGCAGGGGGAAUGCUACUGAGGGGUUCUGUGGGGGUUUGAGGCUUUGAAACCCACCCCAGGUCUCUCCUUGCAGGUAGCUAUUCUCUGCCAGUUCCUCAGAGAAGUAGACUACAAAACUGCGUUUAAGGCACUGCAGGAGCAGAACAGCCAUGAUGCCAUGGAUUCUUACUACGAAUACAUCUGGGACGUCACCAUCUUGGAGUACCUGACAUAUCUCCACCACAAACGAGGAGAGACAGACAAGCGGCAGAUAGCAAUAAAAGCCAUUGGGCAGACAGAGCUCAACGCCAGCAAUCCUGAGGACGUCCUGCAGCUUGCUGCCCAGAGGAGGAAGAAGAAGUUUCUUCAAGCAAUGGCAAAACUUUACUUCUAGGCUAAUAAUGGAAGGCCCUGAUAAAAUGGGUGGGAGUGGAAAAAAACAAUCUUUCAAGACUUUUAUUUUUUAAAUUCAUUUAAAUUUUUAUACAACA
This is an RNA transcript of Strigops habroptila (Kakapo), 4130 nucleotides long. It is a transcript of the gene named integrator complex subunit 8, with no coding region annotated. The transcript has 26 exons. The record is from RefSeq and is a predicted model, not a curated record. Lineage: Eukaryota; Metazoa; Chordata; Aves; Psittaciformes; Psittacidae.